GAUGAACGCUGGCGGCGUGCCUAAUACAUGCCAGUCGAGCGAACAGACGAGGAGCUUGCUCCUCUGACGUUAGCGGCGGACGGGUGAGUAACACGUGGAUAACCUACCUAUAAGACUGGGAUAACUUCGGGAAACCGGAGCUAAUACCGGAUAACAUGUUGAACCGCAUGGUUCAACAGUGAAAGACGGUCUUGCUGUCACUUAUAGAUGGAUCCGCGCCGCAUUAGCUAGUUGGUAAGGUAACGGCUUACCAAGGCAACGAUGCGUAGCUGACCUGAGAGGGUGAUCGGCCACACUGGAACUGAGACACGGUCCAGACUCCUACGGGAGGCAGCAGUAGGGAAUCUUCCGCAAUGGGCGAAAGCCUGACGGAGCAACGCCGCGUGAGUGAAGAAGGUCUUCGGAUCGUAAAACUCUGUUAUUAGGGAAGAACAAAUGUGUAAGUAACUAUGCACGUCUUGACGGUACCUAAUCAGAAAGCAACGGCUAACUACGUG
This 497-nucleotide ribosomal RNA is filed under the name uncultured bacterium. RNAcentral's name for it is "partial 16S ribosomal RNA". It matches the Rfam family "Bacterial small subunit ribosomal RNA", at positions 28 to 507 of the family's 1533-position model. The record is from RNAcentral.